UACAGAGGGGGCAAGCGUUGUUCGGAAUUACUGGGCGUAAAGGGCGCGUAGGCGGCCGCCUAAGUCAGACGUGAAAUCCCUCGGCUCAACCGGGGAACUGCGUCUGAUACUGGGUGGCUUGAAUCCGGGAGAGGGAUGCGGAAUUCCGGGUGUAGUGGUGAAAUGCGUAGAGAUCCGGAGGAACACCAGAGGCGAAGGCGGCACCCUGGGACCAACCUGACGCUGAGACGCGAAAGCAUGGGGAGCGAACGGG
This 253-nucleotide ribosomal RNA is filed under the name uncultured bacterium. Its description in RNAcentral is "partial 16S ribosomal RNA". It matches the Rfam family "Bacterial small subunit ribosomal RNA", at positions 524 to 776 of the family's 1533-position model. The record is from RNAcentral.